AUUGAACGCUGGCGGCAUGCCUUACACAUGCAAGUCGAACGGUAACAGGUCUUCGGAUGCUGACGAGUGGCGAACGGGUGAGUAAUACAUCGGAACGUGCCCGAUCGUGGGGGAUAACGGAGCGAAAGCUUUGCUAAUACCGCAUACGAUCUACGGAUGAAAGCAGGGGACCGCAAGGCCUUGCGCGGACGGAGCGGCCGAUGGCAGAUUAGGUAGUUGGUGGGAUAAAAGCUUACCAAGCCGACGAUCUGUAGCUGGUCUGAGAGGACGACCAGCCACACUGGGACUGAGACACGGCCCAGACUCCUACGGGAGGCAGCAGUGGGGAAUUUGGACAAUGGGCGAAAGCCUGAUCCAGCCAUGCCGCGUGCAGGAUGAAGGCCUUCGGUUGUAACUGCUUUGUACGGAACGAAAAGAACUACCUUCUAAUAAAGGAGUACAUGACGGUACCGUAAGAAUAAGACACCGGCUAACUACGUAGCCAGCAGCCGCGGUAAAA
This 499-nucleotide ribosomal RNA is filed under the name uncultured bacterium. RNAcentral's name for it is "bacterial SSU rRNA". It matches the Rfam family "Bacterial small subunit ribosomal RNA", at positions 30 to 525 of the family's 1533-position model. The record is from RNAcentral.